CAGUCGCCGCGGUAAUACAGAGGGUGCGAGCGUUAAUCGGAUUUACUGGGCGUAAAGCGUGCGUAGGCGGCUUCUUAAGUCGGAUGUGAAAUCCCUGAGCUUAACUUAGGAAUUGCAUUCGAUACUGGGAAGCUAGAGUAUGGGAGAGGAUGGUAGAAUUCCAGGUGUAGCGGUGAAAUGCGUAGAGAUCUGGAGGAAUACCGAUGGCGAAGGCAGCCAUCUGGCCUAAUACUGACGCUGAGGUACGAAAGCAUGGGGAGCAAACAGGAUUAGAUACCCGUGUAGUCCCUGUCUCUUAUAA
Molecule: ribosomal RNA, 301 nt
Filed under: uncultured bacterium
Lineage: Bacteria
Description: partial 16S ribosomal RNA
Rfam family: Bacterial small subunit ribosomal RNA
Source: RNAcentral